UAACACCAUAAUGUAAUGAAA
RNAcentral lists this non-coding RNA (21 nucleotides) under Caenorhabditis elegans. Lineage: Eukaryota; Metazoa; Nematoda; Chromadorea; Rhabditida; Rhabditidae. The record is from RNAcentral.